ACAUGUGACGAGUUUGAUCAUGGCUCAGAACGAACGCUGGCGGCAGGCCUAACACAUGCAAGUCGAGCGAGGUAGCAAUACCUAGCGGCGGACGGGUGAGUAACGCGUGGGAACGUACCCUUUGCUACUGAAUAGCCCCGGGAAACUGGGAGUAAUACCGUAUGUGCCCUUCGGGGGAAAGAUUUAUCGGCAAAGGAUCGGCCCGCGUUGGAUUAGGUAGUUGGUGGGGUAAUGGCCUACCAAGCCGACGAUCCAUAGCUGGUUUGAGAGGAUGAUCAGCCACACUGGGACUGAGACACGGCCCAGACUCCUACGGGAGGCAGCAGUGGGGAAUCUUAGACAAUGGGCGCAAGCCUGAUCUAGCCAUGCCGCGUGAGUGAUGAAGGCCUUAGGGUUGUAAAGCUCUUUCAGAUGGGAAGAUAAUGACGGUACCAUCAGAAGAAGCCCCGGCUAACUCCGUG
This 461-nucleotide ribosomal RNA is filed under the name uncultured bacterium. Its description in RNAcentral is "bacterial SSU rRNA". It matches the Rfam family "Bacterial small subunit ribosomal RNA", at positions 1 to 507 of the family's 1533-position model. The record is from RNAcentral.